AUUCNAGACUGGACGGGUUACUCCUAAAUUUACCGGCGUCAUAAAACUGACACGUUUCCAUCGUAUUAAUAAUCAAAAAAUUAACUUUCGAACAUACUUCCCAACCUGCUCUAUUUUAGACAGAAAUAAAUUAAAUUUUAUUUUAAAUUGAAAACUCAGUUUUCCGAAUUUACUAAUAUUUUCUGCUCUUCUGGGAUAUCUAGAAAUAAAUUAAUUAUAAAACUAUUAAAUCCUAAUAAAAUUAAAUCUCAAAAUUAAUUUAAAAUAACCCCAUUAUAUUUCUAAUUUAAUUAAGAAAAAUAAAUAAUGUAACUAAAUACUUAAAUACUAGGUUAUAAUAACUAAUAUUCUAAUUCAAUGGAAUCCCUAUUGUCGCAUUAAAAAAACCUCUCGAGUAUAGCUAUUUUUUCAAACGCUGGAGCUACAACCUAAUUUUUAAUCGAACCCACGUCUUCGAGUUCUA
This 463-nucleotide ribosomal RNA is filed under the name Cicindela rufoaenea. RNAcentral describes it as "LSU rRNA". The record is from RNAcentral. Lineage: Eukaryota; Metazoa; Arthropoda; Insecta; Coleoptera; Carabidae.